RNAcentral lists this ribosomal RNA (397 nucleotides) under uncultured bacterium. RNAcentral describes it as "partial 16S ribosomal RNA". It matches the Rfam family "Bacterial small subunit ribosomal RNA", at positions 523 to 918 of the family's 1533-position model. The record is from RNAcentral.
AUACGUAGGGGGCGAGCGUUGUCCGGAAUGAUUGGGCGUAAAGGGUGCGUAGGCGGCCUGUUAAGUCUGGAGUGAAAGUCCUGUUUUCAAGAUGGGAAUUGCUUUGGAUACUGAUGGGCUUGAGUGCAGGAGAGGUUAUCGGAAUUCCCGGUGUAGCGGUGAAAUGCGUAGAGAUCGGGAGGAACACCAGUGGCGAAGGCGGGUAACUGGACUGCAACUGACGCUGAGGCGCGAAAGUGUGGGGAGCAAACAGGAUUAGAUACCCUGGUAGUCCACACUGUAAACGAUGAAUGCUAGGUGUAAGAGGUAUCGACCCCUUUUGUGCCGGAGUUAACACAAUAAGCAUUCCGCCUGGGGAGUACGGCCGCAAGGUUGAAACUCAAAUGAAUUGACGGGG